CCCGCCACUAUGCUAGUCUGUGAAAGUGACUAUGUAUAAAUCCAGUGGAGGCUGAUAAUGACCCAGCUCUAGGAAGCAGGGCUGCCCAACCUAAUGGGCAACUCUGUGCCGAAAGGCCUGGAACACAC
Small nucleolar RNA from Myxocyprinus asiaticus (Chinese sucker), 128 nucleotides. RefSeq annotates it as small nucleolar RNA SNORA65. The transcript has a single exon. Lineage: Eukaryota; Metazoa; Chordata; Actinopteri; Cypriniformes; Catostomidae. The record is from RefSeq and is a predicted model, not a curated record.